This 386-nucleotide long non-coding RNA is filed under the name Elaeis guineensis (African oil palm). RNAcentral describes it as "long non-coding RNA (EGUI_LNC020580)". The record is from RNAcentral. Lineage: Eukaryota; Viridiplantae; Streptophyta; Magnoliopsida; Arecales; Arecaceae.
GGAUGAGGCCAACAAAGUGAUAGUAUCGAGCCACUCAAAUCGGUCAAAAUGAUCAAUUUCAUCAUAUCAAGAAAUAAGUAUCCAAUUAGAAUAAGUGUAAUAGAUCAGGUUAUCAAUGGUGGAGUCCCAGGGCCAACGGGGAUCAGGGUGAAGACUGGCAUGAUGGAUGAUCGCAACAACACCAGUUCAGGAUCCUAUAGUGGGGUCAAUCUUGAGGUCCACAAGAAAACAAUAGGGACCCUCCACUGGAUCCAUAGAUCCAUGUAGAGAUAGAUAAAAAGAGGAAGAGACGAGAGAAAAAGAGAAGACAAGACGAAAUAUAAAUAAGAAAUAGAGGAAGGAAGUAGGCUUCAUUACCUCUCGGCUCUCAUUGGAAGGAGGAAGAG